Molecule: transfer RNA, 70 nt
Filed under: Eurydema ventralis
Lineage: Eukaryota; Metazoa; Arthropoda; Insecta; Hemiptera; Pentatomidae
Description: tRNA-Ala
Rfam family: tRNA
About the family: Transfer RNA (tRNA) molecules are approximately 80 nucleotides in length. Their secondary structure includes four short double-helical elements and three loops (D, anti-codon, and T loops).
Source: RNAcentral
GGGGUUGUAGUUUAAAAAUAACAUUUAAUUUGCAAUUAAAAAGUACUAACAAAAUUUGUAGUCUACCUCA